Molecule: long non-coding RNA, 324 nt
Organism: Cygnus olor (mute swan)
Lineage: Eukaryota; Metazoa; Chordata; Aves; Anseriformes; Anatidae
Exons: 2
Source: RefSeq, a predicted model, not a curated record
AGAGCUUUGGCAUGGGCCUCGUUGCUAGGGAAACCAUUUCUUUGUCUCGACAUGUUCAGAGUGGCUGCCUCAUUAGACACUGAACCUGAUCAUCACUUUACACUAUGGGAAAAAAAGAAAAAAAAAUAGAGAAGAGGAAAAGCUAACAGGUUACAGCUGGAAGAGAAGAGGAAAGAAAUGGCAAUGUAAUCAUCAAUCUACUACAUGGCAAGAACACAUUCUUGCUUUCCUCAGAAACUAGGGUUUUUCAGUUCCAUGGCUAAAUGCUUUCAAGAUUUAAUGAAAGAUGAGUUGCUACCAAGAUAAAUAAUUUUUCCAAAUGGG